UGGGGAAUAUUGGACAAUGGGCGCAAGCCUGAUCCAGCCAUGCCGCGUGAGUGAUGAAGGCCUUAGGGUUGUAAAGCUCUUUCGGCGGGGAAGAUAAUGACGGUACCCGCAGAAGAAGCCCCGGCUAACUUCGUGCCAGCAGCCGCGGUAAUACGAAGGGGGCUAGCGUUGCUCGGAAUCACUGGGCGUAAAGCGCACGUAGGCGGCUUACUAAGUCAGGGGUGAAAUCCUGGAGCUCAACUCCAGAACUGCCUUUGAUACUGGUGAGCUUGAGUUCGGGAGAGGUUAGUGGAACUGCGAGUGUAGAGGUGAAAUUCGUAGAUAUUCGCAAGAACACCAGUGGCGAAGGCGGCUCACUGGCCCGAUACUGACGCUGAGGUGCGAAAGCGUGGGGAGCAAACA
Molecule: ribosomal RNA, 402 nt
Filed under: uncultured bacterium
Lineage: Bacteria
Description: bacterial SSU rRNA
Rfam family: Bacterial small subunit ribosomal RNA
Source: RNAcentral